ACGUUCGAAGCUCCUUCGUGACUUCGCGCGCGCACGAGACGAGCAGGAGCGUGACGACGAAGGUUAGGUGGGGAAGUGGGAAGGAGGUGGUGAACAGGCAACGGAAGAGUAUCAGCACCAGUAGAGCGUAGGAGUUGGUAGGCAAGCAGUCAGGCAGGCUCCAAGUACGAAAGGUGGGCGAACGGGUGAGGGGAAGGAAAAGGGGUGGGUAGGUACGCGAUCGCGAACGUCACUGCGUGUGAAAAGACGCGGGAGAAUAGUAGUUACGGAAUAGAUAUACCCCGACGGUGGUCCCGCAUUUUCCACAGCCGAAAUAGAUAUUACGAGCAACGCGGAAGAAGAAGAAGAAGAAGUGGUAAUAGUGGUAGUGUACUAGUAGAAAUAUAAACUUCUUCAGUCCAACGACGAGAAUGUAAAUUUUUCACCUUUACCGUUGAUAUAUCGUUUGCAUCAUUUCCCUCGCGUUUCUUUUUCAAGAAGAUUCCCGAAUUCUUUUAACAACGAUACGUGUUCCUGUUCCCUGUUUUUUUAAUUUUUUUUUUUCUAUUACUAUUAUAAAUUUGUUUGCAUUCUUGUAUUCCGAUGUUUAUUUUGACUUUUAAUUCGUGACGGUAUUUUCUUCUUCCUGCCUCGAGACUGAUAAAUGCUACAAUGCAAUGUUACGUAUGUAAUAAAUAAGUAUUACUUAUAUUUACAUAUAUAUGCAUAAGUAUUUCGAUAUAUAUAGUUUAUAUGCAUAUAUAAAUGUACAUAAUUACGUAUACAUGAACAACUCGAAAUAAGAAACAUUAGUUUUGUAUAUAAUUUACUUCGGCUGAUAUACCACACGACAAGUAACUUCACGAAAAAUAUCAUUACGAAAACAAGAUAGA
This 872-nucleotide long non-coding RNA is filed under the name Polistes fuscatus (common paper wasp). RNAcentral describes it as "uncharacterized LOC122526347". The record is from RNAcentral. Lineage: Eukaryota; Metazoa; Arthropoda; Insecta; Hymenoptera; Vespidae.